Molecule: ribosomal RNA, 460 nt
Filed under: uncultured bacterium
Lineage: Bacteria
Description: partial 16S ribosomal RNA
Rfam family: Bacterial small subunit ribosomal RNA
Source: RNAcentral
CCUACGGGUGGCAGCAGUGAGGAAUAUUGGUCAAUGGACGCAAGUCUGAACCAGCCAUGCCGCGUGCGGGAUGACGGUUCUAUGAGUUGUAAACCGCUUUUGUACGGGGAUAAACUCUGAUACGUGUCCUGUUUUGUAUGUACCUUAUGAAUAAGGAUCGGCUAACUCCGUGCCAGCAGCCGCGGUAAUACGGAGGAUCCGAGCGUUAUCCGGAUUUAUUGGGUUUAAGGGGUGCGUAGGCGGUUUGUUAAGUUAGAGGUGAAAUGUCGGGGCUCAACCCCGAAACUGCCGUUGAUACUGUGGGGCUAGAGAAUGGUUGCGGUAGGCGGAAUGUAUGGUGUAGCGGUGAAAUGCUUAGAGAUCAUACAGAACACCGAUUGCGAAGGCAGCUUGCCAAGCUAUAACUGACGUUGAGGCACGAAAGCGUGGGGAGCAAACAGGAUUAGAUACCCUAUUAGUC